This 1201-nucleotide long non-coding RNA is filed under the name Sinocyclocheilus anshuiensis. Its description in RNAcentral is "lncRNA (ENSSANG00000019430.1)". The record is from RNAcentral. Lineage: Eukaryota; Metazoa; Chordata; Actinopteri; Cypriniformes; Cyprinidae.
NCAAACCCACUCACUUUAGCCCUCCUGUUCCUGAACUGAUUCCCCUGUCUGAAGCGCUUCCCUUGAUGGGGAUCGCUUUUUGGUGUGUUUGGGCUGCGUACGCUACCACAGAACCUCCUGAGAUGGCGGUGCUCGCUCCAGGUCCUCCAGAGGUGGCAGCUGAGGCUGCAGAACCUCCCGAGGCGGCGGCGCUCACUUCAGCUCCUGGUAUGGUCGUGGUGCCCAGCAAUACACUUUCAGCCUGUCAUGUCACGGUCGAAAGAACCGUAGAUGAAUGCUGUACCUGUCCUGUUAAGGAGGAUGUUAAUGAACUCUACCCCUUUCAGAAGGCCGUUUUCGAACCCUCAGUCUGUCUUGUUACGGCUAAGGAGGCCGUCUGUGAACCAUUGCUCUGUCCCAACCUAGCUGCAGAGACUGUCUAUGAACUUUCAUCCUGUACCGACCCAGCCGAAGAAGCUGUCUCUGAACUCUCAGCCUUCUCUGUCAUACCAGAGGAUGCUGUCUGUGAACUUCCUGACUGUUCUGUAGCGGCUACAAGAGCCGUUCAGGAACUCUCAUCCCUGCCUAUCACGGCCAUAGAAACCUUAAAUGAACUUUCUGUAUGCCCUGUUAACUCUAUUAUUGCCAAAGAGACCUCUAGUGAACAGUAUGUCUAUCCCACUUCAGUCAAUGAGUUUAAUUUUGAUCUAUCUGUCUGUCCUGUCUCAACGAAUGAGUCUGACUGUGAAUUGUCUGCCAGUUUACUCACUGAAAUGUCUGCCAGUCUAGUUUCAGUCGAUGACCUUGAGUUUAAACUGUCUGCCUGUCUUGUUUUACCCCGGGUAUCUGAUUUUGAAUCAUCUAUCUUGCCAAUCCAAGUCUGUAAGCCUGUUUAUGAACUGUCUUCCGGCCCAGUUUCAGUCAAUGAGCCUGAUGUUAAAUCACCUGUCUGUUCAGAUCCCACUGACAGUUCUGAUAUCAUACUAUGCCUGCCCAGUAUCAGUUUAUGAAUUGUUUGUUAGUCCAUUUUCAGUCAAUACAUCCAGUUUUACACUGUCUGCCUGUCUUAGUUCUGCUCUCGAAUCUAACUGUGAACGGUCAACCCACUCAGUUUUUGCCCAUGCCCCCAACUUUGAACUGUCUGUCUGUCCAUGUCCCGUCUGCUCCGCCCUGGUGGGUUCCUGCUCUGUCUGCUCCUCCGUGGUGGUCUUCUGCUCCGUCU